Molecule: long non-coding RNA, 2527 nt
Organism: Polyodon spathula (Mississippi paddlefish)
Lineage: Eukaryota; Metazoa; Chordata; Actinopteri; Acipenseriformes; Polyodontidae
Exons: 5
Source: RefSeq, a predicted model, not a curated record
CCAUAGACUUCAGUUCAGAGCCGCAGACAGAAGCUUUAACUACGGUAGCGGGUUGUCUUGUACACAAUUGGCUGACUUGCAAGUUAUUCUAACAAGUGAAACACAUUUAGUCUUCGUUUUCCAAUGGACUUUCACUUCGUUACGCACUACAAAAAACAAAAAACAAACAAACAAACAAAAAAAAAAAAAAAAAAAAAACGAACAGAUGUCCUGAUUGGCCACAGGCUGUAACGUUUUGCUACUGCAUGCACUCCACCUGUAUCUGAGGAGGGAGCACACAACUGCUUUCCAGAGAUGACUAGUGUUUGAGAAUAAUGAAACAAAGCUGACAAAUAGGGACAAACAGCACAGAUGAAAAAGCUACCAAUCUUCUACAAAACCACUGAACUGUGAAAACUGCUCCAGUGGACUAAACUCUGGAGGUAACGACAUCAGGUUAUCAAGAAAGAAAAGGCAGCAAUGUGACCAGAAGCUUUCAGACUGCAGCUUCAAAGCUUCACUGAAUGCAACAAGAAGCAGCCCCCAUGCUGAGCCAGACAAUUAAAGAGUUGUGCCAUAAAAUUAGGAAAUGAUUAAGGUUUUGUGAAAGUAAGAAGAACCUGAACACCCCUUCAUCUAUUUAGAAUGGAUUAAGAUACCAAUUACGUUGUGAGAUGACCAAGACGACCUGUUUCUGCAGGGUUUCCUGUAUUAAAUCCAGGUUGCAUUCUUAAUAAUUAUUAGUUUGUAUUAACCUAUAAAUAAAUGACAUAUCUGAUCCCCUGCACCUCCGAGUACCAAUUAGGAUCUAUUCCCCUCGCCUUGGCAAACCUUGCUGGCUGAUGUUUGAAUAACUUCAGAAGCUUGGCAUAACAAUCCAGCUGUAUGAAGAGCACUAGCUGUGUUACACCCAUCAUUCAGGGCUACCUCCCAAUGAGUAUUACCUGCAGGCUCGACUCAGAUCACAACAUGUUUGACAUAAUAGGCUGGAGGGGGUCACCACAGUGCAAAAAAAUGAAGGAAAUAUACAUACAUUUCAUUUUCAGCGUGGAAAGAUGAACAAAUUUGAAUAAGAUGUUUCUCAUACAAGGAUGUGCUUGUUUGUCCUCCCAGCUUAAGACUAAUUCAUGAAUUAUGCCAGUUGUGCUUCUUAACUCUUUCAGAUCCUUUUAACAGGUGUCAAAUGUAUUUAUUUGUAUGUGAUGUUUGCUUCAGUGAACAUUCAACGCUGUCGGUGAGUUUAAGAUAAAUGGGAAAAAACCAUCGACCGUUGAUUGUACCCUGCAGCCAGCCUUCAUCAACUGCACAGUGAAUGCACAAACAGUGACUUUCAGCUCUUGAGCCUAUGAGGGUGGACAGUUAGUGUGUUUUUUUGUCCGGAACAAGAUGCAGCAAAGGUCACAAUCAACAUUCAUUGCUGUCGGUGGGUUUAACUGUGGAAAAGCUCGCUGAACAAUGAAUGCAACUGUGGCCCAGAUUUUAGCAGCUAACAUCAUCAUGAAUGUAACCAGUGGAUGCGUUGAUUUUUAAUUACCUCUCAUCUGCAUCUCUAAAGAGAAGAUACACAGCUUGUUAGUAAUUCACUUGUGUGCCAUUGUCUGCUGUUCUUUUUCAUUUUGUUACUAAUUAGGAUUUUGUUUGUCUUGAGGCAAAAAUAAGCUUGAAUUUAAGAAAUCACUUCUACUAUUCAGCCCUGUUCAUGUACAUUUCCAGAGAUGAUAUAUGCAAGAUAUAUGUUUGUCAUUUAUUAAUUUAUUGCUAAAUUAGUAUACAUAAUAUUGCUUAGAAGAUUAGCUUUUAAUAUGCAGCUAUCUGUAAUAUCUAGCAAAGUAUAUUCUCCCCUUUUUUGUUACAAAAAAGAGACUAGAUGCCACUACAUUUUCUUCUGUGUUGUUCCCUGUUCUUGUUUCUGUAUUAAAAUAUAGUACUUAUUGAGAAAAGAUUUUGUGCAAAAUAUAUGUGUCAAGAAUGCCUUCCCAUUCAGGUCACUAUUUUCAAGAUGUGCUGAUAUAUAUCUAUAUAAUCUCCUUAUUAAUAAAAAGCUACCAGAACAAGAAUUAAGUGAUGCAUGCAUUUUGACAUAAAUAUUAAUAAGUACUGUAGCACUUUACUUUUUGCCUAGAGUUGUAUUUGUUUCAGUGAAUGUAUUAUGGAAGAAUGUUUUGCUAAAUGAAUCAGGAUAUCAACCAGUGUGGUUUAUCUUUUUUUUUUUUUCUUUUGGCUUUUUAUCUCUUGAAACCUGUGAUGGUAAAGAAUACGAUAUUUUUUAAUAUGCUGUAUAUAUUUGUGCUCAAAAGAGUCAACUUCCCAACGUUUUACUGUGUUUAAUAUACCUUUGUCAAGGGAAAGUAUGUUUGAAAACAAAUAGUGGAGGCACUUACAGGCUUCUGAUGCCAUGGCAACUACACUCAUUUCUAUUUAACUCUAUUAAUGUGUUUGUGAUGACAUUUACGACAUAGUUAAUGAUGGAAAGAUCUAUUCCUUUCUAUUUAAACCUUCAGGCAUCAUGGUAUUGAGUCUAUCAUUUACUCUUCUGUAUUGUACAUUA